This 863-nucleotide ribosomal RNA is filed under the name Gregarithecium bambusae. RNAcentral's name for it is "eukaryotic LSU rRNA". It matches the Rfam family "Eukaryotic large subunit ribosomal RNA", at positions 35 to 931 of the family's 3401-position model. Lineage: Eukaryota; Fungi; Ascomycota; Dothideomycetes; Pleosporales; Dictyosporiaceae. The record is from RNAcentral.
UAAGCAUAUCAAUAAGCGGAGGAAAAGAAACCAACAGGGAUUGCCCUAGUAACGGCGAGUGAAGCGGCAACAGCUCAAAUUUGAAAUCUGGCUCCGUUUCGGGGUCCGAGUUGUAAUUUGCAGAGGGUGCUUUGGCGUUGGCAACGGUCUAAGUUCCUUGGAACAGGACGUCACAGAGGGUGAGAAUCCCGUACGUGGUCGCUUGUCUUCGCCGUGUAAAGCCCCUUCGACGAGUCGAGUUGUUUGGGAAUGCAGCUCUAAAUGGGAGGUAAAUUUCUUCUAAAGCUAAAUACUGGCCAGAGACCGAUAGCGCACAAGUAGAGUGAUCGAAAGAUGAAAAGCACUUUGGAAAGAGAGUCAAAAAGCACGUGAAAUUGUUGAAAGGGAAGCGCUUGCAGCCAGACGUGCCCGCAGUUGUUCUCUUCUGUGGGCAGGCCAGCAUCAGUUUGGGCGAUCGGAUAAAAGCCUCUGUCAUGUAUCUUCCUUCGGGAUGACCUUAUAGGGGAGGCAUAAUGCGUUCAGCCCGGACUGAGGUCCGCGCAUCUGCUAGGAUGCUGGCGUAAUGGCUGUAAGCGGCCCGUCUUGAAACACGGACCAAGGAGUCUAACAUCUAUGCGAGUGUUUGGGUGUCAAGCCCGAGCGCGCAAUGAAAGUGAACGGAGGUGGGAACCCUCUUUCCCGGGGGUGCACCAUCGACCGAUCCUGAAGUCUUCGGAUGGAUUUGAGUAAGAGCAUAGCUGUUGGGACCCGAAAGAUGGUGAACUAUGCUUGAAUAGGGUGAAGCCAGAGGAAACUCUGGUGGAGGCUCGCAGCGGUUCUGACGUGCAAAUCGAUCGUCAAAUUUGGGCAUAGGGGCGAAAGAC